GUGGCUGAUUCUGUCAGUAGGACCUGCGUGCAGCAGAUGAGGAGAAGGAAGCUGUAAAUUCGUAGAGACAUCGGGAGGACUAGGAUAUAAAGAACUCGAGCACUGACCAUCUUACAAAGCGAAUUCGGUCAUUAAAGAUUUUACUAGAGAACGGCGAGGAAUUCUAGCCUAAAUGUACUACAUUAUCUACUAGUGCCCUUGACCUUUCCAGCGUUCCGGGUCCGACUCACGGUGACCCCAAGGUCAGAGUAUACAUGUACCAGUAAUUGGUUAUCUUAGUGACGUCAGAUACAAUAUACUCCAUACGCCAAUUCACUGAAGUACAUUCUGACAAUAUCACGAGUGACACGAGGUUCGCAUACCUGCCAAGUGUCUUAAAAACUCUAUGAAACAAGAGUUUCGGAAAACCGAGUAACUGACAAGUAACUGACAAGAUUUGGUUAUGGGACCUGUUCCUUCCAUUAUUCAGUUGAUUUACCUAACAUCCUUGGAUAUGAGAAAAGGCAAGAUGGACGCCGGCGAUAUUUCUGGUUACGGUUAGUUUUGGAGCAGGUCCCAAAGUGAAAACUGCAAGGUCCUAAAUUCACCAAAGCUGUUUUGACUAGAUAGGAUUUCAUGAUUUAUUCAGUGAUAAAUAAAGUUUUCAAGUGCUG
Magallana angulata is the source of this 653-nucleotide long non-coding RNA. RefSeq lists it as uncharacterized. The record is from RefSeq and is a predicted model, not a curated record. Lineage: Eukaryota; Metazoa; Mollusca; Bivalvia; Ostreida; Ostreidae. The transcript has 3 exons.